This 497-nucleotide ribosomal RNA is filed under the name uncultured bacterium. Its description in RNAcentral is "partial 16S ribosomal RNA". It matches the Rfam family "Bacterial small subunit ribosomal RNA", at positions 28 to 507 of the family's 1533-position model. The record is from RNAcentral.
GAUGAACGCUGGCGGCGUGCCUAAUACAUGCAAGUCGAGCGAACAGACGAGGAGCUUGCUCCUCUGACGUUAGCGGCGGACGGGUGAGUAACACGUGGAUAACCUACCUAUAAGACUGGGAUAACUUCGGGAAACCGGAGCUAAUACCGGAUAAUAUAUUGAACCGCAUGGUUCAAUAGUGAAAGACGGUUUUGCUGUCACUUAUAGAUGGAUCCGCGCCGCAUUAGCUAGUUGGUAAGGUAACGGCUUACCAAGGCGACGAUGCGUAGCCGACCUGAGAGGGUGAUCGGCCACACUGGAACUGAGACACGGUCCAGACUCCUACGGGUGGCAGCAGUAGGGAAUCUUCCGCAAUGGGCGAAAGCCUGACGGAGCAACGCCGCGUGAGUGAUGAAGGUCUUCGGAUCGUAAAACUCCGUUAUUAGGGAAGAACAAAUGUGUAAGUAACUAUGCACGUCUUGACGGUACCUAAUCAGAAAGCCACGGCUAACUACGCG